RNAcentral lists this ribosomal RNA (444 nucleotides) under uncultured bacterium. RNAcentral's name for it is "partial 16S ribosomal RNA". It matches the Rfam family "Bacterial small subunit ribosomal RNA", at positions 354 to 796 of the family's 1533-position model. The record is from RNAcentral.
GUAGGGAAUAUUGGUCAAUGGACGAAAGUCUGAACCAGCCAUUCCGCGUGCAGGAAGAAGAUUCUAUGGAUUGUAAACUGCUUUUAGCAGAGAAGAAACGCCUUCAUUGAUGAGGGUUUGACGGUAUCUGCGGAAUAAGCACCGGCUAACUCCGUGCCAGCAGCCGCGGUAAUACGGGGGUGCAAGCGUUAUCCGGAAUCACUGGGUUUAAAGGGUGCGUAGGCGGGAAAUUAAGUCAGUGGUGAAAGUCUGUUGCUUAACGAUAGAAUUGCCGUUGAUACUGAUUUUCUUGAAUUGGGUUGAGGUUAGCGGAAUGUGACAUGUAGCGGUGAAAUGCAUAGAUAUGUCAUGGAACACCAAUUGCGAAGGCAGCUAGCUGGGCCUUGAUUGACGCUGAGGCACGAAAGCGUGGGUAGCGAACAGGAUUAGAAACCCUGGUAGUCC